AGCUAGAUGCAUUCAUGCAUCCAUCUCCCUCUUGCCAAUUUCAAAUUCAUACAAACGUACCAUAGUGUUCUGUCUCUAGCUAACUCACAAAAUUAAGGCUGCUAUAGCUACCUUAAUCAAUUCACUUUGACGCACCAAUUAAGUAUAUGAGAGAUCCUCGAUCAUGCUACAAACUCUCUAGUCUCUACCAUCUCUGCCUUCUUAGUUAGUGAAUAUUGACCAUGCUCUGUAUCUAAAACCAGGAGUGGCUUCACUAAGAACAGGGCAUACAUGCAUUUUCGAAGUUACUAGAUUGCAGUUUUAGCAGUUUUUUCAGCAGAAGGAAGAUUUUGAGGAAAAGAAAGAUGGUGCACAACGGAUACAACUUAUACUGGAGUGGAUAUAGCUAGAGGAUUAUGAAGUGUGAUUAUUGUAGAUCUGGGCUCGACGCCAUCACCUCGUUCUUAGUUUUUCAGAGGAAUCCGUAAGAUCGAGGAGGAUAGACUGACAGGGUAAUUGCACAAUGUAAGUUUUUGUGACACAUUUAAUUUAUAGCAGCAGUUGAAGACUUUCCUAUAUAUUAAGCUUGGUGUGAUCUCAAUGAGGUUAAGGAUAUAUUGUUUUUUAAUACUCCUAUACGUUUCUUAUGUUCUUGCUCACUAAAUUAAGAUAUUUUCUUGGCUUUGUCUGAUCACAAAUGGAAUUUAAAGAAAGUGGGGGAGCAAAGUGAGAUAAAUGCAAACAAGGUAGCAAACUGUUCGUAAAUAGCUUUAUAUAUACUAUCUUCAACUAGCUAGUUGUAUAACCGAACAUGUGAUUCGAUGUUAUCUUAUCUCUUUGAGGCAGCAGAUUUAGAAUAGAAGUACCAGUAAAUCUUCAUAUUUGUCGUAUAAAGUUUGUUACAUACA
Long non-coding RNA from Glycine soja, 887 nucleotides. RefSeq lists it as uncharacterized. The record is from RefSeq and is a predicted model, not a curated record. NCBI's taxonomy places the organism in Eukaryota, Viridiplantae, Streptophyta, Magnoliopsida, Fabales, Fabaceae. The transcript is spliced from 4 exons.